RNAcentral lists this ribosomal RNA (497 nucleotides) under uncultured bacterium. RNAcentral's name for it is "partial 16S ribosomal RNA". It matches the Rfam family "Bacterial small subunit ribosomal RNA", at positions 28 to 507 of the family's 1533-position model. The record is from RNAcentral.
GAUGAACGCUGGCGGCGUGCCUAAUACAUGCAAGUCGAGCGAACGGACGGGAAGCUUGCUUUUCUGAUGUUAGCGGCGGACGGGUGAGUAACACGUGGAUAACCUACCUAUAAGACUGGGAUAACUUCGGGAAACCGGAGCUAAUACCGGAUAAUAUUUUGAACCGCAUGGUUCAAAAGUGAAAGACGGUCUUGCUGUCACUUAUAGAUGGAUCCGCGCUGCAUUAGCUAGUUGGUAAGGUAACGGCUUACCAAGGCAACGAUGCAUAGCCGACCUGAGGGGGUGAUCAGCCACACUGGGACUGAGACACGGCCCAGACUCCUACGGGAGGCAGCAGUGGGGAAUUUUGCACAAUGGGCGAAAGCCUGAUCGAGCAACGCCGCGUGCAGGAUGAAGGUCUUCGGGUUGUAAAACGCUGUUGUUAGGGAAGAACAGCUGUGUAAGUAACUGUGCACAUCUUGACGGUACCGAAUCAGAAAGCCACGGCUAACUACGUG